GACAUUCCCUAAAUGUCUCUAAAAGCUUUGCCAAUAUUUGCCAGUUUGAAAAUAUGUUCUAGUAGAAAUUCAGCUAGUGGUAUUUUAAGCAAAUUCCAAUUAGAAACCAUUUAGCUGUCAGUGAUCAAAACAUAGGAGGGAGAGUUGGUAUCUAACGAUGAUAAUGCACAUUUAUAGAAUACCUUUCCCUGAGAAGAUCGGAACAGGCAACAUCUUCGUUGUUCAUUUCUGGAACGAUGGCAUCGCUACCUUGAAUUCUUUCCUGAUCUCUGCCUCUUCAGUUGCCUUUAGCUUGCUGUGUUCCUUUUCUCCGGUUUGCUUUACGUCAACGCUGACAACUCCCUUUUACAAUCCUUCGUGAACUUUCUCUGUGUGUGACCGGCGGCUGUAGAGUUCUGGUCUGCUCUUUGUACAAGUGAAGAUGGCAAGAGGCAGUCCGAACUCUCCAGCUGGGAAUGUCUUCUCAGAACGUUUCCCAAACAGAGAUGUUGUUUCCUGUCCUGGAGACACACAUUCCCGAGUCACUCCUCCAGAGGGAGCCGAUGCCACAGACGCCAGCGUCGCUCUUUUCUAACAUGUCUCACCUGGAUUUCUCAGGGCAACUUAGUGUUUACGUCUGCUCCGUCCAAUUUUGCUAGCAGAUGCAAGGUGAUGUCUGCUUUCCCUUUCUAUCCUUCCUCAUUUGCCAUUUACUUCUCCCAUGAGGAGUGUCUCCAAUGGGACAUGGUUGACGUCACUUCUUUCUCACCUUUCCUGAAGCUCGGUGCCACGGAACCAAAUUCCCACGUUACUCUUCUCCUGAUUAGCUCAUCUGCUAUGCAGAGGAAACUGAUUUUAAUUUCCCUCUCUCCUACCUACUAACUUUCUUCGAAUAGAACCUUCCUCUGGAAACCAGCACCUGAUGGGAGAACAGUGGAGUCUGACCCUAACAGUCAAUUCUCCAAGAUGUAAGGACGUAUUUCUAGUUUGUGGCUUUGCCUCCAAUGAUCCGUCAGUUAGAGGCAACCCUCCUGGGAAGUAUCUUUCCAAUGAGGAUUGCUAUAAACAUUCCUAGAGCACUCUGCUUGCCAGAAUAUUUAGGCAAAUCUGAAAAAAUAAAGAUCAAUAAAUAAAAAAAUCA
RNAcentral lists this long non-coding RNA (1120 nucleotides) under Felis catus (domestic cat). RNAcentral's name for it is "lncRNA (ENSFCAG00000052860.1)". Lineage: Eukaryota; Metazoa; Chordata; Mammalia; Carnivora; Felidae. The record is from RNAcentral.